Molecule: long non-coding RNA, 1724 nt
Organism: Biomphalaria glabrata
Lineage: Eukaryota; Metazoa; Mollusca; Gastropoda; Planorbidae
Exons: 2
Source: RefSeq, a predicted model, not a curated record
CAAAGCAAGAUCGUUGUUUCUAGUUUUGAUAUUUAUUAACGGGAAUCCUUACUGGCAAUAUUUGACGUAAACAUAACAAACGAAAAUCCAAAAACAUCGGAUUCUUUUAGAAACAUCCACUUAAACUAGACUAAUACCACAUCCAGAUUUAGAUCUAGAUCUAGAGUCUAUGUCUAUCUAGAAAUUUGAAGGAGUCCUAAUCAUUUUAAACGCCAACAACAAAUGCACCUAGAUCUAUAUCUAAUUGUAUAAAUAAUAAUGCUUGCCUAUGUAGAUCUAGUCUCCUACAAAUUUAUAAUUCUAUGUUGUCUAGAUUCUACUUUUAUUAACUUUUACCCUUAGCCUGACUUACUAGUCUUAGGCGUCCUAGGAAAAAAUCAUUAAAAUGACUCUGGAAAGUUUCAUUAAAGAGUCUCUUACAGUUGUAUUUUCCAUUGCUUUUACUCUGAUUCUAAUUGUCAUUGCCUGGCUAGUUAUGUGGCACUUGUUCUUCUCAAAAAUACGAUUUGUUCGAGAAAUAAUAUUUCCAGAUGGUGACAGCAAACAAAAAGAUUCAAGUAAAAAAGAAGAAUUGAGAAGUAGAAGAGAAAAGCGACAGAGAAAAGAUUCUUGAUUCACUUGUUACUAUUAGCAGCACAUUGUCUCUUACCAACUUUUUAGAAAAACAUAUCCAGUCCAACACUAUUCUGCAAGAUGAAUAUAUUUUCUAGAGGUUGACAUUUUAUACUUUUAUGGUAUUCAGGCUAGCAGCAGAAUUGGAUAAUGUAACUUUUUAAUUUCAUUUUUUUUAAUAGGAAUAGCUAAUUCUUAUUUUCCAUUUCAUUUGUAUAAAAUGUUUGUUUUACAUGUUUCGGAUGUUCCUUCAGAGUUGAAGAUAGUUUACUUCCUAGUCCAAACCUCCCGCAGGACGACGGGGGAUGGGAGCGGGCAGGGUUUGAACCCUCAAUAAAUCCGAACGACAGUUCAGCGCGCAAACCACACGACCAGGCAGCCAUCCAGCCAUAGAAAUAGCUGUCUAAUUCUUUUUUUUUCCUAACAUUAUCUUUACUUAAAUUUGAAACUUAAUGGACAAUGGUCAGUUUUAUUUACAUUUUUCCCUUAUAAAAUGUCAUUUACUUUUAAGACUGUAAUGAACUAAUUGAUUUUCAAUGCAGUUGUUGUUUUGUUGACAUUUUUUAAAUGAAGAAUUGAAUACAUUUUGGUAUUUAAUUUAAAAGACCCAUGCCUGCAAAGUAUUUGAAAAUCAUAUUGGGUUAUUUGUAGCUUCCGUAUUAAAGAAAUUACUCACUGUCUAUUAUGAUACACAAUAAAUAAAGAAAAUAAAUAUAUUCUCUUUUCUAAUUUUUAAAUUGUUACUAUAAGCCAAGUAAAAAAACAACCAACUACUUUAUAAUGAUCAAUAAGAAGUAUUCUAUCAGUAUGUAUAUUCACUAGUCUCCUUAGUAUAUGUUAAUAAAAACUAUUUAUUGUUUAACAUUUCAUUUAACAAAUUUGAUAGUUGUACACUAUCUGUUGUAACAUCUUAAUGAUCUAUUUACAAUGAUUAUCAGAAAAUAAUGUUGAUGGGUUUAUACAUGUUUUUUUAUAUAUAUAUAUAUAAAUCUAUGUUUUCUUGAGCAACUGGGAAAGAGAAUGUUUUGGGGGAUUGAAUGUUUGUGUCUGUGAUCAGAAGAUUGAGAAUAAAAACUGCAAGAUUUACUAUGUAAUUCUUGAUUAAUAAAUAA